Molecule: ribosomal RNA, 901 nt
Filed under: uncultured bacterium
Lineage: Bacteria
Description: bacterial SSU rRNA
Rfam family: Bacterial small subunit ribosomal RNA
Source: RNAcentral
ACGCUGGCGGCGUGCUUAACACAUGCAAGUCGAACGAAAAUACCAAGCUUGCUUGGUUGAUUAGUGGCGAACGGGUGAGUAACACGUGAGUAGCCUGCCCCUUACUUUCCUGGAUAACUGCUCGAAAGGGUAGCUAAUACGGGAUAUUCUGACCAUCCUGCAUGGGUUGGUUUGGAAAGGUUGUUUUUCUGGUAAGGGAUGGGCUCGCGGCCUAUCAGCUUGUUGGUGGGGUGAUGGCCUACCAAGGCUUUGACGGGUAGCCGGCCUGAGAGGGUGGACGGUCACACUGGGACUGAGAUACGGCCCAGACUCCUACGGGAGGCAGCAGUGGGGAAUAUUGCACAAUGGGCGCAAGCCUGAUGCAGCGGCGCCGCGUGAGGGAUGAAGGCCUUCGGGUUGUAAACCUCUUUCGUCAGGGAACAAGGCACUGCUUUGGUGGUGUUGAGGGUACCUGGAUAAGAAGCGCCGGCUAACUACGUGCCAGCAGCCGCGGUAAUACGUAGGGCGCAAGCGUUGUCCGGAAUUAUUGGGCGUAAAGAGCUCGUAGGCGGCUGGUCGCGUCUGUCGUGAAAACUUCCGGCUCAACCGGGGGCUUGCGGUGGGUACGGGCCGGCUAGAGUGCGGUAGGGGUAACUGGAACUCCUGGUGUAGCGGUGGGAUGCGCAGAUAUCAGGAAGAACACCGAUGGCGAAGGCAGGUUACUGGGCCGUUACUGACGCUGAGGAGCGAAAGCGUGGGGAGCGAACAGGAUUAGAUACCCUGGUAGUCCACGCCGUAAACGUUGGGCACUAGGUGUGAGGCUCCUUUCCGGGGGUUUUGCGCCGUAGCUAACGCAUUAAGUGCCCCGCCUGGGGAGUACGGCCGCAAGGCUAAAACUCAAAGGAAUUGACGGGGGCCCGCA